UGAACCAGUGGUGAGAAUGUGUCAUGAGCCAAGAAUAAUAGUGAAUCUAAUUUUCUGCAUCUGAGCUCAAA
This 71-nucleotide small nucleolar RNA is filed under the name Tursiops truncatus (common bottlenose dolphin). Its description in RNAcentral is "Small nucleolar RNA SNORD112 (ENSTTRG00000024816.1)". Lineage: Eukaryota; Metazoa; Chordata; Mammalia; Artiodactyla; Delphinidae. The record is from RNAcentral.